GAGUGGUAUCCGCCGAACUAGGUUAAGAAUAGCCCUAAGAGUGAAAAUAAGUAGGAAAGUUGAAACUAGUAGAGUUGCUAGGAAUUUAACGGUGGACCUUGUGCAGGAGAAGGAAACUCUCCCGGCGUCGGUAUCUAUACGGAUGAGAGUUUGCAAGUCUUCAAUGGCAGCUCGGCCUGAGUGGAGGAAUUCUCGGAGCUUCAAGUGGAUGAGGUCCUUGAUUGAGUAGAAGGAUUUGGUAGGCAAAUUAUCGACGGUAAGGACAAAGUGGAGGUUUUGAUCGGACGGUGGAGUGUCUUCCGGGGAGAACUUUUUAAGAAAGGGGAAGCGGCGGCGGCGGAGAUGGCGUCGACGGUAAGGGGAGGGGGAGACUCGGCGAGAAAUGACGUGGUAGUGACAACAUCGUUUUGGAGAAGUGAAGCGGAUGGAAUUGGAAGGUGAGAGAGAGAUGGUAUAGAGAGAGAGGUUC
This 469-nucleotide unclassified non-coding RNA is filed under the name Hevea brasiliensis (rubber tree). The record is from RNAcentral. Lineage: Eukaryota; Viridiplantae; Streptophyta; Magnoliopsida; Malpighiales; Euphorbiaceae.